Oncorhynchus kisutch (coho salmon) is the source of this 1108-nucleotide long non-coding RNA. RefSeq lists it as uncharacterized. NCBI's taxonomy places the organism in Eukaryota, Metazoa, Chordata, Actinopteri, Salmoniformes, Salmonidae. The transcript is spliced from 3 exons. The record is from RefSeq and is a predicted model, not a curated record.
UUCCAAGUUUAAAAUGAUAAACAUUCAACAUUGGCCAUGCUGUCAAUGAAGCAUGAUUUGUGCUGUGCUCAAAACAACUGUUAACUAGGAACUGCGAAGACUUGACUUCAGCGAGUUCAAGACAACUGGGAAGUCGGGAAAUAACACGCUCCGACUGGGAAAAUAGGUUUUGAAAGGUCAUCCAACUCGGAAUUGUAAAUCCGGCCUUUUUUCAAGAGCUACGACCUGAAGAUCAAUGACGUCAUCAUGAUUCGAUCUUGUUUUUUUCCGGAGUUCCCAGUUGUCUUGAUAGCACCAUAAACCCAGAGAAUACCAGGCUUUGAUGACAAAAGUUGCCCACGAAGGACUGCCGCGCCACCUUCCUGUUCAAGUGAGCUCAACAAGGAUGGCGAUAUUCUCCAGCCUGCGCCCAGGGUCCCUUGGCUUCCAGUAUCUCCUCCCAUGUCCACUAGUCCAGAAAACGCUGCUUGGUCUUCUUGUGGUGGGAUCUUCUGUAACGCUCGUCUGAAGAAGUGGACCAAGAUGCAGCGUGGGGUGUAAAAGAAACAAACUGGACAAGUAGAUGCACAAUGGAUUAUGAUCACUGUAGUUAAUUACCUUUAUGUGCUAAACUAUGUUGGACAUUGGCCUGUUGGAAACUACAACUCCCUACUACAUUUCCAGGCUGGAUCACAACCGGCUGUGAAUGGGAGUCCCAUAGGGCGGCGCCCAAUUGGCCCAGCAUCGUCAGGGUUAGUGUUUGUCUGGGGUAGGCCGUCAUUGUGAAUAAGAAUUUGUUCUUAACUGACUUGCCUAGUUACAUAAGGGAAGAAAAACUUUGCAAAGUUCAGGCUGGAUCUGAUUUAUCUCUAGAGAAACUGUGCAAUGUGGGCAUUGAGCUCACCGGAAACAAAAAACAGAACGAAAUGGAAUUCAAAUAGUUGAAACAAUGUUGGUCAAUUAGUUGUUUGAAAACAGAAAAAUAACCAACAUUUCGGUUAAUCGCUCAGCACUAAACUGGAAUAACUAAUUAAUUGAUUGAAUUGUGUCCUGUACAUCUCACUGAUUGCCUCCAUGUCUAUCUCUUUGAAUAAAAAACCUUCAGCAUCACCUUGUCUCGGUGUGAUCA